GACGCUGAGUGUGUGUGUGUGUGUGUGUGUGUGUGUGUGUGUGUGUGUACGCGCGCGCGUGCAGAUGCUGAACCCACCCUCCCUC
Molecule: microRNA precursor, 85 nt
Filed under: Sorex araneus (European shrew)
Lineage: Eukaryota; Metazoa; Chordata; Mammalia; Eulipotyphla; Soricidae
Description: miRNA (ENSSARG00000016921.1)
Source: RNAcentral